Molecule: ribosomal RNA, 474 nt
Filed under: uncultured bacterium
Lineage: Bacteria
Description: SSU rRNA
Rfam family: Bacterial small subunit ribosomal RNA
Source: RNAcentral
AGGACGAACGCUGGCGGCGUGCUUAACACAUGCAAGUCGAGCGGAAAGGCCCUUCGGGGUACUCGAGCGGCGAACGGGUGAGUAACACGUGAGCAACCUGCCCUUAGCUCUGGGAUAGCUCCGGGAAACCGGAAUUAAUACCGGAUAUGACCUAGGCCGACAUCGGCCGUGGUGGAAAGUUUUUCGGCUAGGGAUGGACUCGCGGCCUAUCAGCUAGUUGGUGGGGUAAUGGCCUACCAAGGCGACGACGGGUAGCCGGCCUGAGAGGGCGACCGGCCGACACUGGGACUGAGACACGGCCCAGACUCCUACGGGAGGCAGCAGUGGGAAUCUUGCGCAAUGGGCGAAAGCCUGACGCAGCGACGCCGCGUGGGGGAUGAAGGCCUUCGGGUUGUAAACCCCUUUCAGCAGGGACGAAGCGAAAGUGACGGUACCUGCAGAAGAAGCGCCGGCUAACUACGCGCCAGCAGCCGC